Molecule: long non-coding RNA, 590 nt
Organism: Melanotaenia boesemani (Boeseman's rainbowfish)
Lineage: Eukaryota; Metazoa; Chordata; Actinopteri; Atheriniformes; Melanotaeniidae
Exons: 2
Source: RefSeq, a predicted model, not a curated record
CUCUCUGUUUACGUCAGAAUUCUGAUUUUCUUUGGAGACACUGGGUCAUAUGGACAGUUUAUUGAAAAAUUUGUUUUACCUCCUUUAUGAUCUUUUCCGUUUAAUCAAAGCCUGUCAUUUAUUGAUGAUGGUCGCCGAGUCCAGAAGUCUAACUUCCUCUCUUCUGUCCGAGAGCUUUACAUGAAAUAAGAUGAAGAUAAAAACCCAGAGAGAGUCAUGGAUGUUGUUGGUAUCUAAACAGAAGAGGAAGCUAAUUUCUUCGUGAUGAUAACAGUUUGCUUGUUGUGAACCAGGUCACCACAGAAGCCACAGACAUCGCAGCCACUCCAAAACUCCAGAGAGGAGCUCAAGAAAGGAUCACAAGAAGAGCCGAAGAGGAAACGACUGAUCUCAUUGUGGCAUUUUUUACUUUAUUUUUUUAUUUUACCUCCUAAACUGUUGAAGAUCUGGCCCCUAAACCCUCAAACCACAACCUGAACCUUUUCAGAAGCUUGUCGUCGUUGCUGAUGAACUCUGGACGAGUGUAAAUAGAGAAAAUGUGUUUCUUUGUGAACCGAUUGUUAAACUCUGAAAUAAAACCUCUGAUUUUA